ACAUCACAUUUGUCUGCCACAGCAGCAACAACAGAAAAGCGGAGGGAGGGAGGGAGGCGGGAGGAGGGGAGCAGAGCUCCGCAAGUCUUGGGCUCUGCGUGGAGGUUGCGUUUGGCUGGCGUCCCCGACCCCGGGCUUUUUGCACGGCAGCUCUCUCUGCGCAGCGCCGGGCGGCCGUAGUCGCCCCGCGGCGCGACUCCGCGGCCUCGUGGCGAGCGCGCGUGGGCGAGUGGCCGCGGACACUCUGGCCUCGCGAGGGAAGCCGCGCCGCGUCCUCGCCCCGUCGCCCCGCGGGCCGGCCGAGACGACGGGAAGUUUUAUUUGCAGCUCGGAGCCUGUGGCGGAUGGUGGGACUCUCCGGCCCUGUGCAGUGCCAACUUGCCCCUGCUGCAGCGUGAGCUCCUCCACUGCGCAAGACUGGCCAAACAGAACCCUGCCCAGUACCUCGCCCAGCAUGAACAGCUGCUUCUGGAUGCCAGCACCACCUCACCUGUUGACUCCUCA
Molecule: small RNA, 504 nt
Filed under: Pan troglodytes (chimpanzee)
Lineage: Eukaryota; Metazoa; Chordata; Mammalia; Primates; Hominidae
Description: processed transcript
Source: RNAcentral